GCCGCAGUAGCUCAGUGGUAGAGCACACCAUUGGUAAUGGUGAGGUCGGGAGUUCAAUCCUCCCCUGCGGCACCA
RNAcentral lists this transfer RNA (75 nucleotides) under Methylopila jiangsuensis. RNAcentral describes it as "tRNA-Thr". It matches the Rfam family "tRNA". From Rfam's summary of the family: Transfer RNA (tRNA) molecules are approximately 80 nucleotides in length. Lineage: Bacteria; Pseudomonadati; Pseudomonadota; Alphaproteobacteria; Hyphomicrobiales; Methylopilaceae. RNAcentral also lists the same sequence under 12 other names. The record is from RNAcentral.